GAUGAACGCUGGCGGCGUGCCUAAUACAUGCAAGUCGAGCGAACAGACGAGGAGCUUGCUCCUCUGACGUUAGCGGCGGACGGGUGAGUAACACGUGGAUAACCUACCUAUAAGACUGGGAUAACUUCGGGAAACCGGAGCUAAUACCGGAUAAUAUAUUGAACCGCAUGGUUCAAUAGUGAGAGACGGUUUUGCUGUCACUUAUAGAUGGAUCCGCGCCGCAUUAGCUAGUUGGUAAGGUAACGGCUUACCAAGGCAACGAUGCGUAGCCGACCUGUGAGGGUGAUCGGCCACACUGGAACUGAGACACGGUCCAGACUCCUACGGGAGGCAGCAGUAGGGAAUCUUCCGCAAUGGGCGAAAGCCUGACGGAGCAACGCCGCGUGAGUGAUGAAGGUCUUCGGAUCGUAAAACUCUGUUAUUAGGGAAGAACAAAUGUGUAAGUAACUAUGCACGUCUUGACGGUACCUAAUCAGAAAGCCACGGCUAACUACGUG
Molecule: ribosomal RNA, 497 nt
Filed under: uncultured bacterium
Lineage: Bacteria
Description: partial 16S ribosomal RNA
Rfam family: Bacterial small subunit ribosomal RNA
Source: RNAcentral